RNAcentral lists this ribosomal RNA (506 nucleotides) under Ochromonas sp. CCMP1393. RNAcentral's name for it is "partial Bacterial small subunit ribosomal RNA". It matches the Rfam family "Bacterial small subunit ribosomal RNA", at positions 35 to 567 of the family's 1533-position model. The record is from RNAcentral. Lineage: Eukaryota; Chrysophyceae; Chromulinales; Chromulinaceae.
GCUGGCGGCAGGCCUAACACAUGCAAGUCGAACGGCACCUUCGGGUGUAGUGGCGGACGGGUUAGUAACGCGUGGGAACGUGCCCUUCUCUACGGAAUAGCCUCGGGAAACUGAGAGUAAUACCGUAUAAGCCCUUCGGGGGAAAGAUUUAUCGGAGAAGGAUCGGCCCGCGUAAGAUUAGAUAGUUGGUGGGGUAAUGGCCUACCAAGUCUACGAUCUUUAGCUGGUUUGAGAGGAUGAUCAGCAACACUGGGACUGAGACACGGCCCAGACUCCUACGGGAGGCAGCAGUGAGGAAUCUUGCGCAAUGGGCGAAAGCCUGACGCAGCCACGCCGCGUGCCGGAUGAAGGCCCUAUGGGUUGUAAACGGCUUUUGAGGGGGAAGAACGACCGGGUUUCGAUCUGGUGUGACGGUACCCCUUGAAUAAGCACCGGCUAACUCCGUGCCAGCAGCCGCGGUAAUACGGGAGUGGCAAGCGUUAUCCGGAAUUAUUGGGCGUAAAGCG